AGCCCCUGGUAAUGGGCAAAGAGACACCUUGGUGGUGGUGUUCACAUCAGUCAGGGGCAGAGCAGAUGACAGUUAUGUGUUCAUCCAAGAUUGAUGCCUGGCUGGGUGGACAAAAUUGUUUCAUGCCUGGGACUCAUAA
Molecule: non-coding RNA, 139 nt
Organism: Mus musculus (house mouse)
Lineage: Eukaryota; Metazoa; Chordata; Mammalia; Rodentia; Muridae
Source: Rfam